RNAcentral lists this ribosomal RNA (253 nucleotides) under uncultured bacterium. RNAcentral describes it as "partial 16S ribosomal RNA". It matches the Rfam family "Bacterial small subunit ribosomal RNA", at positions 524 to 776 of the family's 1533-position model. The record is from RNAcentral.
UACGUAGGGGGCGAGCGUUGCCCGGAUUUACUGGGCGUAAAGGGCGCGUAGGCGGGAUGGCAAGUCGGUCGUGAAAUCCUUCGGCUCAACCGAAGAACGUCGAUCGAUACUGCUGUUCUUGAGGGUUGCAGAGGAGACUGGAAUUCCCGGUGUAGCGGUGAAAUGUGUAGAGAUCGGGAGGAACACCGGUGGCGAAGGCGGGUCUCUGGGCAAUUCCUGACGCUGAGGCGCGAAAGCGUGGGGAGCAAACGGG